UACGUAGGGUCCGAGCGUUGUCCGGAAUUACUGGGCGUAAAGAGCUCGUAGGCGGUUUGUUACGUCGGAUGUGAAAACCCGAGGCUUAACCUCGGGCCUGCAUUCGAUACUGGCAGACUCGAGUGUGGUAGGGGAGACUGGAACUCCUGGUGUAGCGGUGAAAUGCGCAGAUAUCAGGAAGAACACCGGUGGCGAAGGCGGGUCUCUGGGCCACUACUGACGCUGAGGAGCGAAAGCGUGGGGAGCGAACAGG
RNAcentral lists this ribosomal RNA (253 nucleotides) under uncultured bacterium. RNAcentral's name for it is "partial 16S ribosomal RNA". It matches the Rfam family "Bacterial small subunit ribosomal RNA", at positions 524 to 776 of the family's 1533-position model. The record is from RNAcentral.